AUUGAACGCUGGCGGCAGGCCUAACACAUGCAAGUCGAGCGAGCGGCGGACGGGUGAGUAAUGUCUGGGAAACUGCCUGAUGGAGGGGGAUAACUACUGGAAACGGUAGCUACUACCGCAUACCAUCAGAUGUGCCCAGAUGGGAUUAGUUAGUAGGUGGGGUAACGGCUCACCUAGGCGACGUUCCCUAGCUGACCUGAGAGGAUUACAAGACACACUGGAACUGAGACACGGUCCAGACCACUACGGGAGGCAGCAGUGGGGAAGUUUGCACAAUGGGCGAAAGCCUGAUGCAGCCAUGCCGCGUGUGUGAAGAAGGCAGUCGGGUUGUAAAGCACUUUCAGCGGGGAGGCGUUACCCGCAGAAGAAGCACCGGCUAACUCCGUGCCAGCAGCCGCGGUAAUAC
Molecule: ribosomal RNA, 406 nt
Filed under: uncultured bacterium
Lineage: Bacteria
Description: partial 16S ribosomal RNA
Rfam family: Bacterial small subunit ribosomal RNA
Source: RNAcentral